CCCUACUCCCUCCCAACCCUUACCAUCACACCUUACCUUGCAAAGCCAUUCCUCCAUCAUCAAAGUUACUACAACAAAUCUCCCAUUUCCAUUCAAUACGAAAUAUUCCAUAAUUAUCAAAUUUUAUCUUUCAAGAAGGAGUUCAAAUCAGACAUACCAAUAAUCCACCAUUUCAACUCUCUACAAGGCUCGCUACAACAAAUCGUUCGAGGUUCUCUUAUGGCCUAACACGUUAUCUGAGAAUUGUGUACACUCGUUAGCUGACAUGGUGGGUUGAUCUUCAUCGGGCACUAACUAAGAGGCGUUAUAAGGGUGCUUGCUGGAUGUGUUUCGAAGCAUGUAAUGUAAGGUGUGCCUGGGUAGCGUUCCGAGGUCGAUUCAACUUGUCUGAGUUAUGUCAUCAUAAAACCUUCUAAGUUAUGUCAAUUAUGAUUGGAUAAACUGUCUUUACGUAAAUAUGAAAUGUUUCAGAAAAUGCUUGCCCACUGAGUACAUUAGUACUUAGCCCAAAAAUACUUUCAAAUGUUUUCAGGUUGGCUGGCUAGUGCUGACGGGACUGAGCUGAGGUUAGGGUUCAACUUCCUUUUAAGACUUCCGCUGUAGCAGUAUAUAAUAUCUUGUCUUUUGUGUUUUCUUAACUUAAGACUUUCAUGUUAGAUUUAGAAUGACAUCUCUGAUUGAGCUUAAACACUUAACUCCUAGUUUUAUGCUAAUGAAUACUGGUUAUCAGAAGCAUGAAACAAAACUUGUGAUCCAAAGGGGCCUAGCCCGACCUGUUACCUUAUAUUCGGUUUCAACAAGGAUUUUUCCUUGUGUUAUUUCCAUGAAUUGGUUGCA
This is a long non-coding RNA of Salvia miltiorrhiza (redroot sage), 837 nucleotides long. RefSeq lists it as uncharacterized. The record is from RefSeq and is a predicted model, not a curated record. Lineage: Eukaryota; Viridiplantae; Streptophyta; Magnoliopsida; Lamiales; Lamiaceae. The transcript has 2 exons.